This 699-nucleotide long non-coding RNA is filed under the name Pan troglodytes (chimpanzee). RNAcentral's name for it is "long non-coding RNA NONPTRT014401". Lineage: Eukaryota; Metazoa; Chordata; Mammalia; Primates; Hominidae. The record is from RNAcentral.
CUGGGAGCUCUUGGAAUCAAAGUCAGCACCUCCCUCCCCCCUGCCUUCCCAACGUCCACUCACUGUCUUCAUCCUGGGACUGCACCCCUUGCCUUUCACUUCAUCACAGUGCCCUUGUUGGAAGGCCACGGUGGGCUCCUCUCUCCAACCCUCUCUGUCUCCCCGUCGGCCCCCACGGCUUGGCUUUUCUUCCGAGACCUUGGCAUGGCAGGUGUUUCUGGUGUCCUGUGGCCACAGGGCACCGUCAGCAACACCAUCAGCAGGUGUGAAGGAAGGACUUUCAAAGCUGCUGGGCCAUGCAGAGGCAGAAGGAUCAGAGGAGGUGUGCAGGGUUGUUCCUGGUGAGGAGGUUUUGCCUGGGGAAGGAGUAAGGGACUGGACGCGUCGGAUAUUUGGGGAAGAUGGAAAACCCAGUGUGCGCAAGGACCACAAAGGGAUCCUCCAGCUGGAGCUGAGCUCUGCCGGCGGGCACAUGCUGCUUGUCCUCCCAGGAGCCCCGGGCUGCGCCCUCCAGAAGGCACAGGGAGAAAUAAGGGGUCCUGAGAAAUGUCACUGCCUGCACCCAGCAAAAGCCCCUUUCUUUCUUCUUCUCUUUUUAUUUUUCUUUUCUUCUUGCUCUCUCACUGCCCCCAGCCCGCCCCACUCCUGUUCUCUCCUCCUGCACCUGCAAUUCCUAAACAACCCUGAUGUUAUUCUGAU